Molecule: long non-coding RNA, 2470 nt
Filed under: Triticum aestivum (bread wheat)
Lineage: Eukaryota; Viridiplantae; Streptophyta; Magnoliopsida; Poales; Poaceae
Description: long non-coding RNA (TAES_LNC007388)
Source: RNAcentral
AGACCUGUUUAUUCCAUGUUAGCGAUGAAAAGAAAUCCAUGGUUUAGUUGAUUUCGUUACGGGCAAGCACAUAUGGAAACAAAUUUAAUCUCUCUUAAUUGAAGAAAAUAGGGGCUUGCAGCCAACAAAUAUGUCUACCCCUUCGAAUUGCUCUUCAUUGGCUAUUGCGAUCAGGAAAUGUCUUCGAUUAGCUCUUCAUUGACUAUUGUCGUAGCUGAACAAUGCUCUUUUUCUUAACCUAUUGGAUCCGACCCCAUGUUUCUUUAGAGAACAUAACAUAAUUACAAUAACAUCAGCAUGAAAUUUACAACCAGGCAAACACCUCAUUUCUUCAUAGCAAGCAACAUGAAGUUCAUCUUUCGCAGGAAAAGUGCAUAAGACAUCCAUAUUUCCACUGACUACAAAGUGAACAAAUUCAAACAAACUUGACUCGGUUAGUAGCAUGUUGCACAUGUUAUAUUCAUAAAAAUUCUAUCUUCAUUUGAUCACGAACUACACAAAAAAUCACAUAGAGUAGCUUCCAAAUAUGACAUAGAAGCUGCAGCUGCGUACCAACUGAAUAUUGAAGGAGAUUUAUCCUUCUUUACUGUUUAUUUUUGGCACGACAAUCCAAAAUUUUAGAUGUAGAAAGUUGGAUGUUGGUUUUACUACCAUUUUUAUACUUUAACCACCAUUAAUGCAAACCAAAAUGUGUAUCUUUCAAUAAUCAAAAACAACAAGAGCCAGUGUGCAUCUAUUCUUUCACCCACAGAAAUAAGGUCUCAGUUUACAACUAUUUUCGAUGCAUCAAGAUUCAAAAGUUAAAGUAAACUACAGGGCUAAUAUAACCAUUCCAUACACUAAGAAUAGACCACGAAAGACAUAGAAGCACAGAAGCACAACGAGGGAAACUGCUUACAUUUAAAUCAUCACAAUAAGCUCUUGAGAUUUCUUAUGGCCACCAUAAGUUUUUGAAGUGGCAGAUCAGCCCAACGGAAGUGGACAGUGUGUGUCGGCCCCAGAGCCAAGCAGCCUGCCUCGCUGGCUAGUGCUAUUGCCGCUCUCGUCCUCUCAUCGACGAAGGCGACGACACUCAUAGUAGUCCAGUACUUAUAGUGAAAGCAAGUGGUAUUCUAAACAGUAUACUGAAAUCUGAAUUUAGUGGGUGGCAUGUAUGUAUAGACAACCUAGCUACUCCAGCUUCAAAAGAAUCAAAGUUCCAACUCUAGAACACAGAUGACCAUUACAGACCACUUUUCAGUACCACCAUUCUGGCCUUACAAUCGCAUGGCAACCAAAUUGGUACUCCUGGUUUUUUCAAAGCAACUACUCUACGGACCCUUCAUAGACACAACUCAAAUAACCGGGUGGGCCAACGUUAGAAAAAAUUACCAUUAUCUAUUUCUAAAAGAUAGAUGAGCAGUAUACCUAAUUAUUUUAGUCAGCCAACAAUUUUGUACCAGAUGCAAUCUUCAAGUAUAUACUGGGGCCAACUUAUUUUGUUGAUACUAAGAAAUGUAAAAAGAAGCUAGAGUAGCAAAGGUAUAGAGGUUGUACCAGUCAGUGAAUCUGCACUAUUUGGGAGAGCGUCACACGGAUCCAGCUAUCUCUAGUCAGAGACGCACCAAAGUCUGACCUGACAACCCCUCUUUUCUUCUUUAGCAAAGGAAAGCUCCAUAAGAAUUGAAUAACUUGAAAUAAAUAAGCGACAAUUAAAUGAGGCAACUAAGGAAAAAACUUAAUUUUUUGUAUGCCUUCUUUUUACUGAUGGUAAAGCCGAGAAUACUUCCAGUCACCGCGGACAAAGUAAAACAAGACACAUAUUACUGAAUGUACUUAUAUGUUCUAAAAGAAAAUACUAAAUUAAGAAGAUAGUAUAUUAUGGUGUCCCUACUACCUACUAUGUAAUCUCUACUGAUGAGCAGACGCACUACAAAGAUCCAAUCUUUUGUGCCAGCUUAUCUCAAUUUAGGCAAGUGUAGUAGGAAAAAAAUGAAGAGAUUAAUACACAAAAUAGCCUGUAGUUUAAAGAAUCAAAUUCAGAACAUAACUUCCAGCUAUAUCUUCAACAAAGAAAUUUAACUUGAACAUCAGAAGGGAAUUUAUUGCUAUACCUAUAGGCUUUUAAUCCCUGUACAGCUAGUGCAGAGCAGUCACUGCUUUAAUUUCUUCCCUGUCCCAACUCCCUUUGCACCACCAAAGUUUCUUAAUUUCAAGGUGUGUAUAUACAGACAAUUUGACUGUCCAUGUGAAUUUAAAGUACACAGAUAAAGAUACAAGAGAAGAUGCAUCACCUAUUGUUCUUGGGGAUCUGAAUCUGAUCAUCCUUUUCUUCAGAAUCAAGCGAAGAAGCAUCAGCCUGACCAUUAGGGGUGGCCUGAAUCGCAAAACAAAAUGGAUCAGGAAGCAAAGAUGUGUAUAUACAGCUUGGCUGCUUCGUCAGACUGGAGCACAGGUUCCUAUGGUAUAGAUUUGAGUAAAGUGUGCCGAU